This 367-nucleotide unclassified non-coding RNA is filed under the name Hevea brasiliensis (rubber tree). The record is from RNAcentral. Lineage: Eukaryota; Viridiplantae; Streptophyta; Magnoliopsida; Malpighiales; Euphorbiaceae.
AAUUCUUCUGCUUCGCUAUGUAGUAAGUACUACCAAAAGAGUUUCUAAUUCUCAUUCUCACAUAUGCACUGAUUUUGCACAGAUUUUUUUUCCCUUUUCUUUGUGUUAGCUUCUCAUUUUUUCUUUACUUUUCUCCUGCAUUUGGCUGUCGAAUUUCAUGAGGGAAUAGGAAUUAUCAGUUUCAUUGAAGGGUAUUUUUGUAACAGAAAAGGGAGGUCUGUUCAAGGUCAACAUUUUAUUAAUUAAACCAAACAAUUUUAUUAUAUAAUUAAAUUGUAUUAUUUAGUUUGAUUCAAUUUCUGUCUGGGAUUUCAUAUAUAAAUAUGCCAAUCCUUUAUUAUAUUUUUAAAAGAUAUGUAUCCUUUAA